GAUGAACGCUGGCGGCGUGCCUAAUACAUGCAAGUCGAGCGAACGGACGAGAAGCUUGCUUUUCUGAUGUUAGCGGCGGACGGGUGAGUAACACGUGGAUAACCUACCUAUAAGACUGGGAUAACUUCGGGAAACCGGAGCUAAUACCGGAUAAUAUUUUGAACCGCAUGGUUCAAAAGUGAAAGACGGUCUUGCUGUCACUUAUAGAUGGAUCCGCGCUGCAUUAGCUAGUUGGUAAGGUAACGGCUUACCAAGGCAACGAUGCAUAGCCGACCUGAGAGGGUGAUCGGCCACACUGGAACUGAGACACGGUCCAGACUCCUACGGGAGGCAGCAGUAGGGAAUCUUCCGCAAUGGGCGAAAGCCUGACGGAGCAACGCCGCGUGAGUGAUGAAGGUCUUCGGAUCGUAAAACUCUGUUAUUAGGGAAGAACAUAUGUGUAAGUAACUGUGCACAUCUUGACGGUACCAAAUCAGAAAGCCACGGCUAACUACGUG
RNAcentral lists this ribosomal RNA (497 nucleotides) under uncultured bacterium. Its description in RNAcentral is "partial 16S ribosomal RNA". It matches the Rfam family "Bacterial small subunit ribosomal RNA", at positions 28 to 507 of the family's 1533-position model. The record is from RNAcentral.